AUGGCCGAAUGCUUCAAUAGGGUGCUCAAAGGUGCACGUGGAUUACCCGUGACGGCAAUAGUUCAAUACACAUUUGACAAGAUGAAUGCGUACUUUGUAAAGUACUCGAUGGAAACCGAUGCACAGAUAGCGGGUGAGAACCCACGGAAGUACAAGUACAAGUUCCCACCCAAAGUUGAUGAAUGGUUGUUAUUUCAAUCACGGAAGGCGGACUCAGAAGAAGCUAUAUUAUAUGACAACGAAGAGUGGAAGUACGAAGUGAAAGAGCCAGGAGGAACCACAAACGAUGGCCGGCAACAUGGAGGUCGGGCUUUCAAGGUGUCGUUAACACAAUGUGAUUGCACUUGCGGGAGGCCAUUGUUGCUUCAUCUCCCAUGCUCACAUUUGUAUGCCGCCGGUCGCGUUAGGAAUGUGGACAUCAAUCACCCACGCACCGUGAGGGAGUCGGAGUUCUCAAUCAUGAUGGUCAAGAAAACAUGGGCUCCCCGCUUUCACCCAUACUUUGACCAAUCACAAUGGCCGGAGUAUCAUGGAGUUCAACUAUGGCCGGAU
Molecule: ribosomal RNA, 552 nt
Filed under: Triticum aestivum (bread wheat)
Lineage: Eukaryota; Viridiplantae; Streptophyta; Magnoliopsida; Poales; Poaceae
Description: partial small subunit ribosomal RNA
Source: RNAcentral